Long non-coding RNA from Panicum virgatum (switchgrass), 804 nucleotides. RefSeq lists it as uncharacterized. NCBI's taxonomy places the organism in Eukaryota, Viridiplantae, Streptophyta, Magnoliopsida, Poales, Poaceae. The transcript is spliced from 3 exons. The record is from RefSeq and is a predicted model, not a curated record.
GUCAACAGGCCUGCAGCCUGCUCUCCGGUUGUCUUCCUCGCAGCGAGCAGUGGCACAGAGCUACAGCGGCAGAUAGGCAUAGCCGUCUUCCUCAGCCUGAGAUCUGCGUUCUAACGUGGUGAACCGGUGCCUCUACUGCAACCUGACGACGAGCAGCGGCAGUAGCGCUCGGCGAGGCGUAGAAGUUCCGGUGCUGCUGCCCGUCAUGGAGUUCGCCGACGAGUGGCUUCAGCGGCGUCCAUCCCCCGUCCAGCAUGGUUUGCAUUAGCAGGUGUAACCUCAUGGAUCCAACUUGACUGGAUCCGUGGCCACCGGAUCCAUCGCUGCCGCUGGGAUGAGGCGGGUAGGCAACUCGCAAAUCUCAGCAUCAAGGGCAGAACCAUGCCUGGCCCUCGAGCCCUCCACUUCCGCCUCGAUGGUUGAAUGUAGCGAUUAGACUUGGAGGUGCACCUCGCGAGCUUUAUCUGCAGGACGCCAUCCAUGCCGAGGGCUCUCGGUCAGCAACAAGCGGCAAUCUGAUAGGCCAUGAGGGGCUUAAGAAAUAUUUUGCUCUCAGUCAGCAACAAGCAGCAAUCCAGCAAGGCAUCAAGGGCAAGAAAGUACAAGGCUGCAUCUUGUUAUAUUUUGCUGAACCUGUCUUUCGUAGUUUCUGUUGCAUGAGUGGCUUAAAUGCCAUGUUGCUCUAGAGAAUUAUGAACCAGAUUUGAAAUAUUGCUCUGGUGAUGCUAACUUGGAUGAUAAAAUUUUUGUCUUGUGGACUGAAUUGAUUAUUUGAUAAAUAGGCUAAAUUUUCCAUGGGCUUUA